This 1078-nucleotide long non-coding RNA is filed under the name Callithrix jacchus (white-tufted-ear marmoset). RNAcentral describes it as "lncRNA (ENSCJAG00000069649.1)". The record is from RNAcentral. Lineage: Eukaryota; Metazoa; Chordata; Mammalia; Primates; Cebidae.
AUUAGCAGAGUAAUUAUAAGGUGCCAAUGAAUGAUUCAAAGUUCUUUGAGUUACAUUUUACUCCAAAUUAGCAUUUUAAGAACCCUAAGAAUCUGCCGGGCGGGACUCACUCCCGUGACUAGGUGCAGAAUGAUGUUCGCGUGGCCUUUAACAUCUGCAAAGGCUGGGCCGAGAUCUGGGGUUUAGUUGCAGUUCUGGAGGUCGCUUUCUGGGCCACAGCGUUAAUCUAUUGAGGACGAAGGGAGGGGUGUCAUGGAGGCAAAUGACCUCCUUGGACAAGAUCUUGCCUUUCGGUCGGAACUGUUUUUGGUUGAGCCCUGAGCCCUGAAGGGGGUAGCUGGGCGACUCACCCUGCCUGCGUUUUCCUAGGGAAAUCGAUGUGUUUGACCCAGAAAAUGCCUGCACUAUUUGGAGGGUGGGUUGAGCUGUUUCUUAUCGUCUUCGUGCCAUUUUUCCUAGGGCUGCCUCCGAGAACAGCGGGGAGAGAAGGGACGAAGGCGAGGAGAUGCACAAUCCGGGCAGAUCUCGCUCUUCUCGGAAGGCCAGGGGAGUUUGGCCGAGGAGCCGGGGUUGGUGAGCUGAGGCGGGAACGCGGGACGUGCUCCUUCCCAGCAGGGGCCGAUGCUGGCUAGAGGGGUGCGGGGAGGCUCUGGGGAAGGGUGACUGAGCUCCACCGGGUCGAGUCAGGCCAAUAUAAGCUGCUGUGGGGUUGGAUCAGCCGCCUUUGGCGCGGGAAAUGAGUGCUGGCCCGGCAGACCCUCCGGAGAGUUCGCGGGCCCAGCCUCGGCUUACCGACAGCGGUUACCAAAUCACUGACGGUGGGCUUGCGAAGGCGACUCAUCCGAUGCCUCAGGGCCCGGCGCUGCACACAGCCUCGCAGCCUGGGCACCCCGCGCCUGAAAGAGUUGACCGCUGUGGGGAGAACAGGAAGGGCUCUAGGGCUGCCCGAGACUGCAGGCGGAUGCUACCUACUCUUCCCUCUUCAAAUAUCGAUGAGGGUUCUUCCCAUCCAACAUCAUCAUCCACCAACUUCCCGAAUGAGAGAGUCUGCAUUUCUAACACAAUCCCAGUGAUGUGA